CACCUCAGGAAGAAAGGAUUCAAACCCUUCUCUCACCU
Molecule: transfer RNA, 38 nt
Filed under: Sturnella magna
Lineage: Eukaryota; Metazoa; Chordata; Aves; Passeriformes; Icteridae
Description: partial tRNA-Pro
Source: RNAcentral